GGUCGGAUGGUGUAGUUGGUGGCAUCUCUGAGUGUCUAUCAGGAGGUCCCUGGUUCAAUUCCAGCUCUGGCCA
Molecule: transfer RNA, 73 nt
Rfam family: tRNA
About the family: Transfer RNA (tRNA) molecules are approximately 80 nucleotides in length. Their secondary structure includes four short double-helical elements and three loops (D, anti-codon, and T loops).
Source: Rfam